RNAcentral lists this long non-coding RNA (562 nucleotides) under Bos indicus x Bos taurus (hybrid cattle). Its description in RNAcentral is "lncRNA (ENSBIXG00000024831.1)". The record is from RNAcentral. Lineage: Eukaryota; Metazoa; Chordata; Mammalia; Artiodactyla; Bovidae.
AAAAAAAGGAACGAAAAGACUCGGGCAAAGGAUUGAUUUCGUGUUGGAAUCACCAAUAAGCCUGUAUCAUUACUAUUAUUGUUUUUCCCACCAUAAAUUGCAGGACAUUUUCUGUACGGUCCUUGGGGGAAAGCAAGGAGUAGGGGGAGGGGAGGGGACUUUUAAAAAUCUUUCCCACACUAAAGAACUAGGAGGACCGGACUCUCGGCGAGCGAUCCAGGAGAAAGUGAGAAUCAUCCUGAACUUCGGGAAAUCUGCUGCGGCUACUACUGCUACUGAAGCUAUUGCGGCUUCUGCUUUCAGAGCUGAAAGCAGAAUAAAUAACUGCUUCUUCCUUGAUUUUAGGUCCGGGAACCUUGGGCAUUUGACAUCCAAGACCUUCUUUUUGCCUUCCCUGAGGUCGGCUGUCACCUUCCGGCCUCCCCCACCGCUGCCCCUGUCGCCUCCUGCUGCAGCUCAGCCUGUCUGCCAUUUCACUCAUUCGCUUAAACCCACGACCUCCCGGGUCAUAAGGAAGAGGAUUUACCAAAGAAGUGGGCAAGCAGAAAUGAGGACCUCUUAA